AUUGAACGCUGGCGGCAGGCCUAACACAUGCAAGUCGAACGAGUGGCGGACGGGUGAGUAAUGUCUGGGAACCUGCCUGAUGGAGGGGGAUAACUACUGGAAACGGUUGCUAAUACCGCAUACCAUCAGAUGUGCCCCGGUGGGAUUAGCUAGUUGGUUGGGUAAAGGCUCACAAAGGCGACGAUCCCUAACUGGUCUGAGAGGAUGAACAGCCACACUGGAACUGAGACACGGUCCAGACUCCUACGGGAGGCAGCAGUGGGGAAUAUUGCACAAUGGGCGCAAGCCUGAUGCAGCCAUGCCGCGUGUAUGAAGAAGGUCUUCGGGUUGUAAAGUACUUUCAGCGGGGAGGCGUUACCCGCAGAAGAAGCACCGGCUAACUCCGUGCCAGCAGCCGCGGUAAUUC
Molecule: ribosomal RNA, 406 nt
Filed under: uncultured bacterium
Lineage: Bacteria
Description: partial 16S ribosomal RNA
Rfam family: Bacterial small subunit ribosomal RNA
Source: RNAcentral